AAGUCUUCCCAUAUGGACGAAGAGAUAGGUAAAUGUUGAAGUAGGCCUGUGGGUUUCUUGGCUUCAACCUUUACCAAUCCCUUCGUCCAUAUGGGAAGACUUGUCUCUCGACUUC
This 115-nucleotide microRNA precursor is filed under the name Glycine max (soybean). RNAcentral's name for it is "miR1531 stem-loop (gma-MIR1531)". Lineage: Eukaryota; Viridiplantae; Streptophyta; Magnoliopsida; Fabales; Fabaceae. The record is from miRBase by way of RNAcentral.